CCUACGGGUGGCUGCAGUCGAGAAUCAUUCACAAUGGGGGAAACCCUGAUGGUGCGACGCCGCGUGGGGGAAUGAAGGUCUUCGGAUUGUAAACCCCUGUCAUGUGGGAGCAAAUUAAAAAGAUAGUACCACAAGAGGAAGAGACGGCUAACUCUGUGUCAGCAGCCGCGGUAAUACAGCGGUCUCAAGCGUUGUUCGGCAUCACUGGGCGUAAAGCGUGCGUAGGCUGUUUCGUAAGUCGUGUGUGAAAGGCGCGGGCUCAACCCGCGGACGGCACAUGAUACUGGGAGACUAGAGUAAGGGAGGGGGAACCGGAAUUCUCGGUGUAGCAGUGAAAUGCGUAGAUAUCGAGAGGAACACUCGUGGCGAAGGCGGGUUCCUGGACAUUAACUGACGCUGAGGCACGAAGGCCAGGGGAGCGAAAGGGAUUAGAUACCCCAGUAGUC
RNAcentral lists this ribosomal RNA (446 nucleotides) under uncultured bacterium. RNAcentral's name for it is "partial 16S ribosomal RNA". It matches the Rfam family "Bacterial small subunit ribosomal RNA", at positions 338 to 795 of the family's 1533-position model. The record is from RNAcentral.